GGUCNANANNAGNAUUGCUUCUCUUGAGAGCGGCGGACGGGUGAGUAAUGCCUAGGAAANNGCCUGGUAGUGGGGGAUAACGUUCGGAAACGGACGCUAAUACCGCAUACGUCCUANGGGAGAAAGCAGGGGACCUUCGGGCCUUGCGCUAUCAGAUGAGCCUAGGUCGGAUUAGCUAGUUGGUGAGGUAAUGGCUCACCAAGGCGACGAUCCGUAACUGGUCUGAGAGGAUGAUCAGUCACACUGGAACUGAGACACGGUCCAGACUCCUACGGGAGGCAGCAGUGGGGAAUAUUGGACAAUGGNCGAAAGCCUGAUCCAGCCAUGCCGCGUGUGUGAAGAAGGUCUUCGGAUUGUAAAGCACUUUAAGUUGGGAGGAAGGGUUGUAGAUUAAUACUCUGCAAUUUUGACGUUACCGACAGAAUAAGCACCGGCUAACUCUGUGCCAGCAGCCGCGGUAAUACAGAGGGUGCAAGCGUUAAUCGGGAAUUACUGGGGCGUAAAGCGCGCGUAGGUGGUUUGNUNAGUUGGAUGUGAAAUCCCCGGGCUCAACCUGGGGAACUGCAUUCAAAACUGACUGACUAAAGUAUGGAAGUAG
This 598-nucleotide ribosomal RNA is filed under the name Curtobacterium poinsettiae. Its description in RNAcentral is "bacterial SSU rRNA". It matches the Rfam family "Bacterial small subunit ribosomal RNA", at positions 67 to 657 of the family's 1533-position model. The record is from RNAcentral. Lineage: Bacteria; Bacillati; Actinomycetota; Actinomycetes; Micrococcales; Microbacteriaceae.